RNAcentral lists this long non-coding RNA (709 nucleotides) under Felis catus (domestic cat). RNAcentral's name for it is "lncRNA (ENSFCAG00000047083.1)". Lineage: Eukaryota; Metazoa; Chordata; Mammalia; Carnivora; Felidae. The record is from RNAcentral.
UAUGACUAUUUCAGACACCGCAAGGUUUGCAAAGGCAAAGGCAGGAAGAGAAGCUUGGUUUAGCCUGCGUUUAUUUUUGUGAUUGGAGAGUGAAGGCAGUCGAGAUAUCACAGGGCGUUCAGAAAGUUUCAGAAAGGGAAGUAUUUGUGCUUUAUCACUUGACCCAGAAACUCCAGCCGAGUGCUAAUCUUUGAUGGAUUCUGCCCGCCUCAUAGGCGCACUAAUAAUAAAAAUGAGGCAGAUGGGGAGCGUUUCAACACAUGACACAUCAAAUCCGUCUCCUGAGAUGUGCCCAUGCCCGUCACAGCCCUGCCUGGGUGGCUUCGAAUGCCGAGCACGGGUCGGGGGCAGGGGAGAGUCACCAUUUCGACCAAGCGCCCAGGGGAUGCCACCUCGAUACCCUCUUUAAGAACAAGGAGCCGGAACCACAGAGCGGCACCGAGGGGCUCUUCCCCUGGAGGUCAACGGAGAGGACAAGGGGUACAGUGGGAAGUCCUUGGAUCUGAGCCUGGCUGACCUGGACCUGGGUCCGGCACCCCACCCCCACCCCACUGGUUGUGAGUUAGACAAGACACUUUGAUCACAGGGACACAGUGCCACCCAGACUGGUUUAAGCAAGAAAGGUGACGUUAUGGGAAGCGUAUCGGGGGUCUACUUUGAAGUCUGAAACCAGUUCUCAGACAGAAAUGUUGACUUGCCAAAGCCAGCG